AUAGACACACACAACUCACAAUCUAUUAUACACACACACACACAAACUCACCACAUACCACGCACAGUACUGUUACAGAUUGAGAAACCCGUUGUUACUCUGAGAUAAAUAUCUAUUGACCUGACAAAUAAGUCAUUUUAUAGAAAGACUUCAAUAAUAUAUGGUUCGGUCUUAACCCAAAUGUAUGACAUAAGUAUUAUGUGAAACAUAUGUAGCUUGUGUAAUGCAAAAUAACAAUUCCUAAUACAUAUGGGCUGCAGGUAGCCUAGUGGUUAGAGUGGGGGAGGCAGGUAGCCUAGUGGUUAGAGUGGGGGAGGCAGGUAGCCUAGUGGUUAGAGUGGGGGAGGCAGGUAGCCUAGUGGUUAGAGUGGGGGAGGCAGGUAGCCUAGUGGUUAGAGUGGGGGAGGCAGGUAGCCUAGUGGUUAGAGUGGGGGAGGCAGGUAGCCUGGUGGUUAGAGUGUAGGGGCGGCAGGUAGCCUGGUGGUUAGAGUGUAGGGGCGGCAGGUAGACUGGUGGUUAGAGUGUAGGGGCGGCAGGGCAGCCUAGUGGUUAGAGUGUAGAGGGGGCAGGGCAGCCUAGUGGUUAGAGUGUAGAGGGGGCAGGGCAGCCUAGUGGUUAGAGUGUAGAGGGGGCAGGGCAGCCUAGUGGUUAGAGUGUAGAGGGGGCAGGGCAGCCUAGUGGUUAGAGUGUAGAGGGGGCAGGGCAGCCUAGUGGUUAGAGUGUGGGGGCGGCAGGUAGCCUAGUGGUUAGAGUGUUGGGCCAGUGACCUGAAAGUAGUUAGUAUAUAUACAGUAGUUAGUAUAUUCAGAUAGCUAGGUGAGACAACCACAUAUCACAGUAGUUAGUAUAUUCAGAUAUCUUCAGACCCAUCCCCAGUGCCCAGUCCACAGUCCUAUUCCCCAAUCCAUUACCUCAGCAGUACCAGUCAGUCCAUUACCUCAGCAGUACCAGUCAG
Long non-coding RNA from Oncorhynchus tshawytscha (Chinook salmon), 955 nucleotides. Lineage: Eukaryota; Metazoa; Chordata; Actinopteri; Salmoniformes; Salmonidae. The record is from Ensembl.